GGUCUUCCGGAAGUUAACCAUUUGAAGGCUUGCCAGUUGCAAGCAUGGAUCGGGAAUUUCGUAUUACAAUCCGUUUGUCUUAGAUAAAAUUCGUAAUCUGGAACUUUCCUUCAUUUUCUGCAUGAUGGGCAUAUUCAAUAUCUAGUCUCAUCUGGCCAUCAGAGAUCUUUGAUCUGUUGUGAAUGAAUGGAAUGAAAUAGGCAUGCCUAAAUUUUCUGCUCAUACAACUUUGCAACUUCAUGCGAUAUAGCAGUUAUGCAAGCAUUACUGCUCAUUUCAUUGAAUAAUGAAUGUUGGCUGUGAGAUUCCCAUUGAGCUUUCUCUAUUAUGAUUUGAGAGCUGAAUGGUGGGUUUUAUCAUGUUGCAUACGGAACAGCCAUGAAGAUGAACGAAAUCUAUGUGCCCGUUUGAGAGGACUAUUGAGUUGGAUAUAAAAGUAGUUAGAUAAGGUAAUACAGCCGCGAACCAAUCUAUUACAAAUUAAUUUGACAUAAUUUUUCCUGCUUCGUGAAUCGAUAUUAACCUGUUUGGAAAACCAGUUAAUAUUUUAUCAUUUAUAAACAGCUGUGUCAAGCAACCAUUGCUGUUGGGGUGUGUAAUCGGGCUCAAUCAAGGUCGAUCGUUGAAUGGAGCGUAAUUGAUUGGGGUGGUUAACCCGAAAACCACGCAAAAUAUAUUGGCAAUGAUGAUUCCCAAUUACCAACAGUAGUCAGGUUUUUCUUUUAUGAGUGUGGUAGCUAUAUGCAUUACCUCUUUCUGCUCUACUGUGCUAUCUGAUAGUAUGUUAGAUAUUUAAGAUUUUUAAAUAAUUUAGGUACUGCAAUUUUUUUAAUGGGCUAUUAGUAUUCCUAAUUACGCCUUUCAUAACCAAACUUCUACCAUUUACAAAUAGGAUUUUACAUGAGAUGCGUUUCAGCUUAACUUCAGUCUGAACAUGUGAUAGGUAAGGAUGGGAGAGGUAAGUUGUUGUUUCCUCUAACUUCAAUAAUUAAAAAGUCUAAGAACAUACUAUCGUAGUUUGAAAGCUAAAGGCAUAUUUAAGUAAUUUGACUUUGCUCUAGAUGGUAAAAAUUCCAAUUUACUAUACUACAAUUAUAUAUUUAAUGCUAAACGUUGCUUGAUAAGCUACGCAAUAUAUUUCCUUCGUUAACAACUGGUUGUGGUACAACACAAGUUGUAAGGAAUGGAUAAUGAAAGCUUUCAUUGAUUCUUGCAACUGUUUUUUAUCAUUUGGAUAGCCAACUCUCAAUGGAGAA
Molecule: long non-coding RNA, 1256 nt
Organism: Daphnia magna
Lineage: Eukaryota; Metazoa; Arthropoda; Branchiopoda; Diplostraca; Daphniidae
Exons: 4
Source: RefSeq, a predicted model, not a curated record